Long non-coding RNA from Panicum virgatum (switchgrass), 2824 nucleotides. RefSeq lists it as uncharacterized. The record is from RefSeq and is a predicted model, not a curated record. The transcript has 6 exons. Lineage: Eukaryota; Viridiplantae; Streptophyta; Magnoliopsida; Poales; Poaceae.
ACAACCACGCCGCUCAAGAACCCGUCGACCUCCACGCCGUCGCACACGACGUUGCCCACCCGUCUGAGCGCCGCCCUCUGUUUGCCUCCAAUCGCGCAAGCCUCGAUUAGCAAACAGCUCAAUUGCCUCUGAUGCAAUCUUGUGCAAACUCUUUGUGUUUUAUGGAGGCUGAUACACGGCACAAGUCCACAAAGAGUUGGACUCCUCCUGCCCAGUGGCGAAUCUAGGUUGAACAAGUAGAGGGGGCUCAUAUUAACUCUCUUCUUCUUCCUCCCUUCUCUUCCACUUCCUCCUCUCUUUUUCUUCAUUGUUUCAUCCCAAAAAUGGUGGGGGGCUUACGGGGGUAUCCAUGUAUCUUGGGGAGGUAUGGGGCUUGAUCCCCCUAGCCCCCCUUUAGAUCCGCCCUUGCUCCUGCCGACCUUUCCUUCCCUUGUUACAUAAUUUUCCUUUUCUAUUCCGCGACGAGAUGCAUGUCCGCAUGCAACUCCCCAUAGAAACCGUGUGGACCUUCCAGAUGACCGAUAGCCACACCGCACGAAACUGAAUCCUUGACUGGUUUGAUUGAGCAAAAAGAAACUCAAUUGGCAUGCAUGCAACAGCCCCCACAGACAGCCAUGCACGAUCAAAUAAAUUAAUGAAUCCAAAUCCUUGCAUGCAUUCUAAUAACCAUCCAUUGCACGCCUCAAUUUUUGCUCCACUGAUCCUUCAAUCUCGAUUCCUUCGUGCCACGCCCCUGGAGAUAUUCCAGAUUUUUCCAACCUUCGGCUUUGAUACCACUUGUUAGAGUGCACAGCGGAAUCCGGCCCGGCCUGCUAUACCCAUGAGCUGGCGCCCUACCAGGCCUAGGUCCACCGGAGCCCAACCAACCAAGGCCUCAGGCCUAACUCAACCCAAAAGACUUGCCUGAUGGGUGAGGACUGCCCCACCUUAUAUGUUGGGCUCCCCCAUGAUUAAUUUUCGAUGUGGGACUAAAUCUAACAGAUCCUGCAAAGAAGCAGUUCGCUGAGGCGCUGCUUGCUUUUACCGAUGCUUUUAACAUAGCAAUACUCAUCUAUAGUCUCUAAGGAAGAUGUGUCCGACGAAACUGUUGCUGCUCUGGAUAAAAUAGAAGAGGCCUAGGGGAAAUAUAACGACGGACCAUUCCUCCUCGGUCAUUUCAGUCUGGUGGACAUAGCAUAUGUGCCAUUUAUCGGAAGGUUUCAGAUAUUCUUUCAAAACAUUAAGAACUACGACAUCAAAAAGGGCAGACCCAACCUGCAGAAGUUUAUUGAGGUCCAAGGCAGUAUGGCUCAAAAUGGCAGCUGUUCACAUUCUCUUGAGUUUGCUCCAUUAUAACAGGGCUCUAUCUGCCAACAAGUGAUAUUGAUUUUUUUCCAGGGAACAAGGUUACCAUGGAUGAAACGUUAGCACGGGCAAGCUACUAUUUCUUACAAUUGAUCUUUCCUUACUAUCUUGUUUGCUGUAUCUUGUUGCAGUUCUUGGAAGCUUUCUUGCAGGACUGAACAAAAUUAUUGCUGAUCAGUAGUAUCCGAAUACCAUGUGUAUGAGUUCUUUAGGGUGAGCUUUUGUAUCCGAAUACCAGAUGGUGUACAACUAAUUAUCUUGCAUCACUGUAUCGUUAGCACAGGCAAGUAGCUUGCGUAUUUCAUAUAUAUCAUUUGCAUCUUACAAGUUGGCCGAUUACCAUAAGAAAUAUCAACUUUUGGUUUAGUUGGGUGAUUAUAUGAUGUCACCAUAGCGUUAGCACAGGUAAUAAAUUUGCUUUUUCUCUAUAAAUGUGGUUGUGUCAUCAACAUGAUAACUCUAUGUUACAUAUUCUUUGUGUGAAAUAUAUAUUUCUUAUUUUGAACUAUGAAUCAUAUGUUAUUUUUUGUAUGUCUGAAAUGCACCCGUAGCGUUAGCACGGGCUCCUGUUGAAGUGUGGGCUAUGACAAAUAACCCCAUGAUGGUACUACUUUCUUUUCUUAUAUUUAUGCAAUUAUCGACUUGUUCUUCUCAGAAAAUGCAAAGCUUACAACAUUGACGUUACAAGCAGCAAUUGGUUUGUGCUAAAAGCUAUUCUUCAAGAUGAUAAUGGGAAUCAAAAGUUAGUUUAGACCAAAAUAUAAGUUCAACUAUAGUCUGCCAUAAAGAAAACUGCAGUUAUAGUUACUCUUCCAAUGUAACCUGCGAUGUGCUCACUCUGUUUGUCUGAAAAAUAACAAUGCUGGUUGCAUAAAAUGGAGCAGUGCAAUGCAAACACAGCAUCUCAUGUAUAGCUAAUGUCGCUGUAAAUUUCAUGUUCUAGAGGGCUCUUGGGCUUCCUACUAUUCUGGAUGCAUAUUAUGCAUGGCAAAUGAUGAUCUAGGUCUGUCCACAUGCCAACGGGUACUCUCAAGGUUUGUAAGGUGGCUGAAGAACAUCAAGGUGAGGACCUGAACAUCAUGCCGUAGAUGUUGCAAGCUCGAGGAGGACAUUUGUUUUCUGUGGUUCUCUCUCUCUCUUUAACUGAAGGUGAAGAUGAGAGCCCAAGCCUAAAGGUCACCCUUCUCUGGCUUUCAGCUCUAUAGGCUUGUCAGCUUCACAGCUCUUGAUGAUGCAUGAAAACAAUGGCAGCUUCACAGGGGAUUAUAGGCUAUCAGGCUGUUUGGAAAUGUUUAUGCGAACACUUAAAAAUCAGAAUGCAUAUACUCCUGUUUUCUGAAAAUGUGUAGGUUAGUGGAGUGAGAUAUCUUUCUGAAUCUUUAAUUUGUCAAAUUCUUUAUUUGUGACCUCUACAUUGGUACAUCCAUAUCCAUACUAGGUCAAGACACAGACCUAUUUUUCGCAAUAUAGUACGAUGAAA